This 472-nucleotide ribosomal RNA is filed under the name uncultured bacterium. Its description in RNAcentral is "bacterial SSU rRNA". It matches the Rfam family "Bacterial small subunit ribosomal RNA", at positions 329 to 793 of the family's 1533-position model. The record is from RNAcentral.
CUAUGCACUCCUACGGGAGGCAGCAGUGGGGAAUAUUGCACAAUGGGCGCAAGCCUGAUGCAGCCAUGCCGCGUGUAUGAAGAAGGCCUUCGGGUUGUAAAGUACUUUCAGCAGUGAGGAAGGCGGGUACGUUAAUAGCGUGCUCGUUUGACGUUAGCUGCAGAAGAAGCACCGGCUAACUCCGUGCCAGCAGCCGCGGUAAUACGGAGGGUGCGAGCGUUAAUCGGAAUUACUGGGCGUAAAGCGCAUGCAGGUGGUUUGUUAAGUCAGAUGUGUAAGCCCGGGGCUCAACCUCGGAAUUGCAUUUGAAACUGGCAGACUAGAGUACUGUAGAGGGGGUAGAAUUUCAGGUGUAGCGGUGAAAAUGCGUAGAGAUCUGAAGGAAUACCGGUGGCGAAGGCGGCCCCCUGGACAGAUACUGACACUCAGAUGCGAAAGCGUGGGGAGCAAACAGGAUUAGAUACCCUGGUAG